AAAGCCCUUCGGGGUGAGUAGAGUGGCGCACGGGUGAGUAACACGUAGGUAAUCUGCCCUUGAGUUUGGGAUAACCCUUCGAAAGAAGGGCUAAUACCGGAGAGACCACGACUCCAUCAGGAGUUGUGAUUAAAGGCGGUGCAAGCCGUCGCUCGAGGAUGAGCCUGCGGCCUAUUAGCUUGUUGGUGAGGUAAAGGCUCACCAAGGCAGGGAUGGGUAUCUGGUUUGAGAGGAUGAUCAGACACACUGGAACUGAGACACGGUCCAGACUCCUACGGGAGGCAGCAGUGGGGAAUUUUGCACAAUGGGCGAAAGCCUGAUGCAGCAAUGCCGCGUGAGGGAAGAAGGUUUUCGGAUUGUAAAUCUCUGUCGGCUGGGAAGAACACUUAGAUCAGGAAAUGGGUCUGAGCUGACGGUACCAGCAAAGGAAGGGGCGGCUAACUCUGUGCCAGCAGCCGCGGUAAUACAGAGGCCCCAAGCGUUGUUCGGAAUUAUUGGGCGUAAAGCGGGUGUAGGUGGCAUAGCAAGUCAGAUGUGAAAGCCCUGGGCUCAACCCAGGAAGUGCGUCUGAUACUGCCGUGCUAGAGUGCGAGAGAGGGAAUUGGAAUUCCAGGUGUAGGGGUGAAAUCCGUAGAUAUCUGGAGGAAUACCAAUGGCGAAGGCAGAUUCCUGGCUCGCAACUGACACUCAGACCCGAAAGCGUGGGUAGCAAACAGGAUUAGAUACCCUGGUAGUCCACGCCGUAAACGAUGGAUGCUUGUCGUUGGAGGAUUAAAACUUUCAGUGACGGAGCUAACGCGUUAAGCAUCCCGCCUGGGGAGUACGGUCGCAAGAUUAAAACUCAAAGAAAUUGACGGGGACCCGCACAAGCAGUGGAGCAUGUGGUUUAAUUCGACGCAACGCGAAGAACCUUAUCCUAGUCUUGACAUCUACUGGACGCGUCCUGGAAACAGGCGUUUCCCUUCGGGGACCGGUAGACAGGUGCUGCAUGGCUGUCGUCAGCUCGUGUCGUGAGAUGUUGGGUUAAGUCCCGCAACGAGCGCAACCCACGCCCCUUGUUGCCAUCAUUCAGUUGGGCACUCUAGGGGGACCGCCGGCGUCAAGCCGGAGGAAGGUGUGGAUGACGUCAAGUCCUCAUGGCCCUUAUGACUAGGGCUACACACGUGCUACAAUGGGGUACACAAAGAGCAGCGAGACGGUAACGUUUAGCCAAUCUCAAAAAAUGCCCCUCAGUUCGGAUUGAGGUCUGCAACUCGACCUCAUGAAGCUGGAAUUGCUAGUAAUCGCAGAUCAGAAUGCUGCGGUGAUACGUUCUCGGGUCUUGUACACACCGCCCGUCACACCACGAAAGUCGUUUGCACC
Molecule: ribosomal RNA, 1362 nt
Filed under: uncultured organism
Description: 16S ribosomal RNA
Rfam family: Bacterial small subunit ribosomal RNA
Source: RNAcentral